Molecule: ribosomal RNA, 862 nt
Filed under: uncultured Arcobacter sp.
Lineage: Bacteria; Pseudomonadati; Campylobacterota; Epsilonproteobacteria; Campylobacterales; Arcobacteraceae
Description: bacterial SSU rRNA
Rfam family: Bacterial small subunit ribosomal RNA
Source: RNAcentral
AGUUGUAUCCUGGCUCAGAGUGAACGCUGGCGGCGUGCUUAACACAUGCAAGUCGAACGAGAACGGGUUAUAGCUUGCUAUAACUGUCAGCUAAGUGGCGCACGGGUGAGUAAUAUAUAGUUAAUCUGCCCUAAAGAGGGGAAUAACGUUUGGAAACGGACGCUAAUACCCCAUAUGCCUUUAAGACAAAAGUCUGCAAGGGAAAUAUUUAUAGCUUUAGGAUGAGACUGUACGGUAUCAGGUAGUUGGUGAGGUAAUGGCUCACCAAGCCAAUGACGCCUAACUGGUUUGAGAGGAUGAUCAGUCACACUGGAACUGAGACACGGUCCAGACUCCUACGGGAGGCAGCAGUGGGGAAUAUUGCACAAUGGAGGAAACUCUGAUGCAGCAACGCCGCGUGGAGGAUGACACUUUUCGGAGCGUAAACUCCUUUUAUAUAGGAAGAUAAUGACGGUACUAUAUGAAUAAGCACCGGCAAACUCCGUGCCAGCAGCCGCGGUAAUACGGAGGGUGCAAGCGUUACUCGGAAUCACUGGGCGUAAAGAGCGUGUAGGCGGGUUAAUAAGUCAGAUGUGAAAGCCAAUGGCUCAACCAUUGAACUGCAUUUGAAACUGUUAACCUAGAAUAUGGGAGAGGUAGAUGGAAUUUCUGGUGUAGGGGUAAAAUCCGUAGAGAUCAGAAGGAAUACCGAUUGCGAAGGCGAUCUACUGGAACAUUAUUGACGCUGAGACGCGAAAGCGUGGGGAGCAANCAGGAUUAGAUACCCUGGUAGUCCACGCCCUAAACGAUGUACACUAGUUUGUUGCGAUGCUAGACAUUGCAGUAAUGCANUUAACACAUUAAGUGUACCGCCNGGGGAGUA